UGAUUUUUUCUUUUGACUGGCACAGUUACGUUUGUCAACAAGGGGCUGCUUUGUGAAUAUACUGGUAUUUGGUGAAUUCGUUCAGUUUUCUUUUGAGCAACAUUAGCUCAAUUUCUAAAUUGACUAAUGGACAGUUGCAAAUAGAGCGCUGUUUUGCUUUCUCUUCCAAUCAUCAUGGCAGAAGUAAAGGAGAAGGGCAGGAAACCAAGUGAAGAAUCCACAGAUGAGUCUGAGGAGGAGGACAGUGUGGAGGAGCCUAAGCUGAAGUAUGAACGAUUGGCCAAUGGGGUGACUGAAAUUCUCCAAAAAGAUGCUGCCAGCUGUAUGACUGUCCAUGAUAAGUUCCUUGCGCUGGGCACUCACUUUGGGAAAGUUUUCCUUCUGGACAUCCAAGGCAAUGUGACUCAGAAGUUUGAAAUUAGUCCAGUGAGGAUCAACCAGAUCAGCCUAGAUGAGAGCGGAGAGCAUGUUGGGAUCUGCUCUGAGGACGGCAAGGUUCAAGUGUUUGGACUCUACACAAGGGAAGGCUUCCAUGAGAACUUUGACUGUCCUGUCAAAGUGGUGGCGUUACACCCUCGGUUCAGCAGUUCAAACUACAAACAAUUUGUCACUGGAGGCAACAAGCUUCUUCUGUAUGAGAGGAACUGGCUGAAACGCUGGAAGACGUCCACUCUGCACGAAGGGGAGGGCACCAUCACUAACGUCCGGUGGAGGGCCAAUCUCAUCGCCUGGGCCAACAAUGUGGGGGUGAAAAUCUAUGACAUCAGCACCAAACAACGAAUCACCAACGUCUUCCGGGAUAACGUCAGCCUGCGGCCGGAUAUGUACCCAUGCAGUCUGUGCUGGAAAGAUAACUCCACCCUCAUCAUCGGCUGGGGCUCCUCCGUUAAGAUCUGUGCCGUGAAGGAGAGGGACCACGCGGAGAUGAGAGACCUUCCUAGCCGUUAUGUGGAAAUUGUGUCUGCGUUUGAAACCGAGUUCUUCAUCAGUGGCCUGGCGCCUCUAGCAGACCAGCUGGUCAACCUGUACUUUGUGAAGGAAAACUCUGACCACGUGGUACUGUUUGGUUAGAUACUGUGUGAUGGAAUGGCUUAAGUGGUCACAGACAUGAUAUUUAAAUGUUGAUCUGGUCGACAUGUUUACGUGUGUGUGUGUAUUUGAUCAGGAGGAGGAGUUCAGAGCGCGGCCUCGUCUGGACAUCAUCCAGCCUCUCCCAGAGGGCUUUGAGGAGAUCUCAUCAGACGCCCUGACCGUCCGCAACUUCCAGGAGAACGAGUGUCGAGACUACCGGCUGGAACAUUCUGAGGGAGAAUCCCUUUUCUACAUCAUCAGCCCUAAAGACAUUGUGGUGGCCAAAGAGAGAGACCAGGAUGACCACAUUGACUGGCUGCUGGACAAGAAGAAGUAUGAGGAAGCUCUGAUGGCUGCUGAGAUCAGCUUCAAGAAUGUUAAACGCCAUGAAGUCCAGAAAAUUGGGAUGGCCUACAUAAAUCACCUGGUGGAGAAGGGUGACUACGACACCGCUGCCAGGAAGUGUCAGAAGGUGCUGGGGAAAAACAUGGAACUCUGGGAGAAUGAGGUGUACAGGUUUAAAACCAUUGGGCAGUUGAAGGCCAUCAGCCAAUACUUGCCCAGAGGGGACCUGCGUCUCAGACCUGCCAUAUAUGAGAUGAUCUUAAAUGAGUUUCUAAAGACGGACUAUGAGGGCUUUGCCACGUUGAUCCGCGAGUGGCCAGGAGAGCUCUACAAUAACAUGACCAUUGUUCAGGCAGUCGCCGACCACCUCAAGAAGGACCCCACGAACAGCACCCUGCUCACCACACUGGCUGAACUGUAUACAUAUGACCAGCGGUAUGACCGAGCCCUGGAGAUCUACUUGAGACUGAGGCAUAAAGAUGUUUACCAGCUGAUCCACAAACACAACCUCUUCUCCUCCAUAGAAGACAAGAUUGUGCUCCUCAUGGACUUUGAUAAAGAGUCUGUCUUUGGAGUGCUUUAAGCUGUGCAAAAGUCAUGGAAAACCUUUGCCUUGAGUCAUCGUGCCUCGCACACCUCUUAAUGCAUUUGGAUUGGAAGACAACAAAGGUCAUAAGUCACUUUGUGUUUAUCCCUGUCUGAAGAAUGGGUUUAUUUGUGUUGUCAGAAAGCUGUCGACAUGCUCCUGGAUAAUGAAGACAAAAUAUCGACCGACAGAGUAGUGGAGGAACUCCGGGACAGACCUGAGCUGCUACACAUUUACUUACACAAAUUGUUCAAGAGGGACCACCACAAGGGUCAGCGGUACCAUGAGAGACAAAUUGGCCUGUAUGCUGAGUAUGAUCGGCCCAACCUGCUGCCAUUCCUCAGGGACAGCAUCCACUGCCCACUAGAAAAGGCUCUGGAGAUUUGUCAGGAGAGAAACUUUGUGGAGGAGACUGUCUUCCUGCUCAGCAGGAUGGGGAACUGUAGACGGGCCCUUCAGAUGAUCAUGGAGGAACUGGAGGAUGUGGACAAGGCCAUAGAGUUUGCUAAGGAGCAGGAUGAUGCUGAGCUGUGGGAGGAUCUCAUCUCCUAUUCUAUUGAUAAGCCACCCUUCAUUACUGGUCUCCUUAAUAACAUUGGGACACAUGUGGAUCCCAUCUUGCUCAUCCACCGCAUAAAGGAGGGAAUGGAGAUUCCUAACCUCCGAGAUUCUCUAGUCAAGAUCCUACAUGACUACAACCUGCAGAUCUUGCUGCGGGAGGGCUGUGAGAAAAUCUUAGUGGCUGACUCCCUCUCCCUGCUCCAAAAGAUGCAUAGGACUCAGAUGAGAGGAGUCCGAGUGGAUGAAGAGAGCAUCUGUGAAUCCUGUCACGCGUCAAUAUUACCAUCAGAUAUGGCUCAGAACUUCAGUGUGGCUGUCUUCCACUGCAGACACAUGUUCCACAAGGAGUGUUUACCUUCUCCUGGAACAAUUCCUGGAGUCCAGUUUUGCAACAUCUGCAGUGCAAAGCGGAGAGGACCAGGAAGUGGGAUACUGGAGAUGAUAAAGUGACAGGAAAUGCUCACCUUAUCAUGCAAUCGCUUCGUCUUUUACCAGUUGGGAUGAAUGGCAGUCUCUGGGUUGAUAGAUUUUAUCUUUCUCCUUUGCUACGGUGUGAUCUUCUGAAUCAAUGCAUAAUAUAUCAUUAUAUUAACUGUUACCAAAAUAAAAUAAUAAAUGUUGCACUAUGACCUCUUAAUACACUUCUUGCAAUUUGCUUUGGAAUCCAAAUUCCAAAUAAAAGGCUAUUGAAAUCUCAA
Oncorhynchus kisutch (coho salmon) is the source of this 3261-nucleotide RNA transcript. It is a transcript of the gene named VPS41 subunit of HOPS complex, with no coding region annotated. Lineage: Eukaryota; Metazoa; Chordata; Actinopteri; Salmoniformes; Salmonidae. The transcript is spliced from 27 exons. The record is from RefSeq and is a predicted model, not a curated record.